RNAcentral lists this ribosomal RNA (433 nucleotides) under uncultured bacterium. Its description in RNAcentral is "partial 16S ribosomal RNA". It matches the Rfam family "Bacterial small subunit ribosomal RNA", at positions 29 to 507 of the family's 1533-position model. The record is from RNAcentral.
AACGAACGCUGGCGGCAUGCCUAACACAUGCAAGUCGAACGAGACCUUCGGGUCUAGUGGCGCACGGGUGCGUAACGCGUGGGAACCUGCCCUUAGGUUCGGAAUAACUCCCCGAAAGGGGUGCUAAUACCGGAUAAUGUCUUCGGACCAAAGAUUUAUCGCCUUUGGAUGGGCCCGCGUUGGAUUAGCUAGUUGGUAGGGUAAAAGCCUACCAAGGCGACGAUCCAUAGCUGGUCUGAGAGGAUGAGCAGCCACACUGGGACUGAGACACGGCCCAGACUCCUACGGGAGGCAGCAGUGGGGAAUAUUGGACAAUGGGCGAAAGCCUGAUCCAGCAAUGCCGCGUGAGUGAUGAAGGCCUUAGGGUUGUAAAGCUCUUUUACCCGGGAUGAUAAUGACAGUACCGGGAGAAUAAGCUCCGGCUAACUACGUG